Molecule: ribosomal RNA, 289 nt
Filed under: uncultured bacterium
Lineage: Bacteria
Description: partial 16S ribosomal RNA
Rfam family: Bacterial small subunit ribosomal RNA
Source: RNAcentral
GAUGAACGCUAGCGGCAGGCUUAAUACAUGCAAGUCGAGGGGCAACGAGGGGUAGCAAUACCUGCUGGCGACCGGCAAAACGGGUGCGGAACACGUACAGAACCUUCCUUAGAGUGGGGGAUAGCCCGGAGAAAUCCGGAUUAAUACCCCAUAGUAUUAUUGGGUGGCAUCACUUGGUAAAUUAAAGAUUUAUUGCUCUAAGAUGGCUGUGCGGCUGAUUAGGUAGUUGGUUGGGGUAACGGCCCACAAGCCAGCGAUCAGUAACUGGUGUGAGAGCACGACCAGUCAC